AUGACUUCUGGGUAACUAAUGAAAUUAAGGCAGGAAUUAAGAAGUUCUUUGAAAUAAUGAGGAUAAAAGAUACAAUAUAUCAGAAUCUCUGGGACACAGCCAAAGCAGUGUUAAGAGGGACUAUAAUAGCACUAAAUGCCCACAUCAGAAAGUUCGAAGCGAACAGCCUAACAUCACAUCUAGAGGAACCUAGCAGAAGACAAGAAAUAACAAAAAUCAAAGCUGAACUGAAGGAAAUUGAGACAUGAAAAACCAUACAUGAGAUCAAUUAUUCCAGGAGCUGGUUCUUUGAAAGAAUUAAAAAGAUAGAUGGACUGCUACCUAGACUAAUAUAGAAAAAAAGAGAGAAGAUCCAAAUAAACACAAUUAAAAAUAUUGUCAAUUUCUUAAAAUCUUUAUCCUCUCCACGUCGUAUUUAGAAUAGUGUCUAUUGCCUUAUAUGCAGAUGUAGUGUCACUAUACAAUCUGAUUUUAAUAAAAUCCAGUACAUUUUUAAUUUCAGACAUUGUGUUUAAGCAUUUAUAAUUUCACUUGUGACUUUUUUAUUGUUUCAGUUUUUUCUCCUUAAAGUCCAUUUGUUCAACAAUUUAUGUCUGUCUUUUGCUUGAGUAUCUUGUGAAUAUUUAUAAUAGUUGGUUAAGUUCCUUGGCUAUUAAUUUCAACAUCUGUGUUAUGUUUGGCUCUUCAAAUUAUUAUCAGUCACAAAAUCAACUCCACUCUUGUCAGAACUUCAAAGACUACUAGCAUUUUGCAAUCUCUGGUGUCUCACUUCAGCUUUUCCACUAUGGUUCUCUAACAUGGUCUUUUGCUCUGUUAGAUUAGUAUUUGGCUGAGUGAAAAACAACUAAAGGCACACAUCUGAAACUCCUUCCCUGUGAAUAUUCCUCCAUUCCAAUGCCUGCAACUGCAAAUUCCAAUCACCUCAGCAGUCAUGAACAUUGAUUUCUUUUUCUCCAACUAGUAAAACCACUGAUCCCUUCAUUUGAGCUCGACUUCCCUGCACUUAGUUUUGAAUUUUUCCCCUGUCCAAUAGUAAGACACACACACAGAGAAGAACAACAAGAACAAGAAGAGAAUUGCAAUGAUGUGAAAACACGAUAACACAUGUAGAGCAGAGCACUGUGCACCAGUUACUAAUGCCAGAAGAGGACUCUCACUAUAUGGAGGGUAAUGAAGAUCAUCACAAUACCAGCCACCAGGAAUAGAAGUCCAGAUACUUCUGCCCACUGUCUGUUAGUAUUGGAGUCACCAAAAAAUCACAAGUCAAGUACUUGGUGGAAAAUUACUUUACUCACAAAAAGAUACAGAGCAAGAUCAGUUUCGGUAGUGGACAUCUGUCACCAUGGUCCCUCCUAAAAGACAAUGCAGGGCAACUGGCCUAUGAGCACCCAACUAGUGCUACACUAGAAGGACUCUGACACCUCCUCCAUGAAGUAUGAAAUAUCAAAAACUAGGGGCAUGCCUGAGCGCCAUUGAAACACAGUGCUUAAGCAGAACAAAGACGUAAAGACGUACUCAUUGAGUCUGAAACAGAGAAAGAUACUUUCUCACUAAAUCUAAACCUGGGAUAGGUACUGCCUUUCCCAAUACAACAGAUUUUAGUAAAUCCUCCAAAUUUGUUUGACUUUGUUCCAUUUGUUUUGGUAAUUAUCUAUGCUGUCCCUUUCUAUAUACAAUUAGCAUAAGCUAGUCAAUACAACAAAAAUAUAUACAGCAAAUUAGAUUGGGUUUGCAUCAUUCUAUAGAUUAGGAGAAUAUUGAACAUUAUAAAAAUAGUGAAUAUUCCAAUUCAUGAACUCAAUAUAUUUAUUCAUUUACUAAGACAUUCUUGAUUUCUUAUUCAGCAUUCGUAGGUAACAUGCAAAUCCUGUAUCUAUUUUUGUUAACUUUGUACCUACAUAUUUUGUUUUUCCUGAUGCUAUUGUAACUAUUACUUUAAAAUUUAAUUUCCAUGUGCCUAUAGUCCCAACUUCUUGGGAGACUGAGGCAAAAGACUCAGUUGGGCCCAGGAGGGAGUUUGAGUCUAGUCUGGGCAACACAGAACCCCACCUCUAAAAAUUAAAUUAAGUUAAAAUUAAAAAAAAAAAUUUCCAUUUGUUCAUGCCCAUUAUGCAAAUAUGUAAUUGACCUAGUACCCUGGAACAUUCCAAAAUUAUUUUACUAAAUCUGGAGAUUUUGUUAUAGAUCUAAAGACUGUGAAUUCAUAUGCAAAUAUGUUGCUUAUAUAAAUAGACUUAUUUUACCAUUUUUA
This 2251-nucleotide long non-coding RNA is filed under the name Homo sapiens (human). RNAcentral describes it as "HSALNT0302621". Lineage: Eukaryota; Metazoa; Chordata; Mammalia; Primates; Hominidae. The record is from RNAcentral.